This 213-nucleotide long non-coding RNA is filed under the name Lathyrus oleraceus (garden pea). RNAcentral describes it as "Pisum sativum (pea) long non-coding RNA (PSAT_LNC016075)". The record is from RNAcentral. Lineage: Eukaryota; Viridiplantae; Streptophyta; Magnoliopsida; Fabales; Fabaceae.
AAGUUUUCUCGAACAAUGAAUGUAUUGUUUCACAGUCGGUAAACUUUUUGCUAAGGUAAAUUGCAUGCUCUUUUCGACAAGACUCGUUCGGCGAGCAGCCUAUGCCAAAGUACAUCAAGUUUUCUCGAACAAUGAAUGUAUUGUUUCACAGUCGGUAAACUUUUUGCUAAGGUAAAUUGCAUGCUCUUUUCGACAAGACUCGUCAUGCUGACC